This 1017-nucleotide long non-coding RNA is filed under the name Ananas comosus (pineapple). RNAcentral's name for it is "long non-coding RNA (ACOM_LNC014886)". The record is from RNAcentral. Lineage: Eukaryota; Viridiplantae; Streptophyta; Magnoliopsida; Poales; Bromeliaceae.
AAGAUGGCUUUCUAUUGAAUAGCAAAUGGGAAAAAGUACACGAGCAGGGGAGUGAUGCCCGUAGGGCAGACAGACUCCAAGUAUGGGAAUAGGGGAGUGAUGCCCGUAGGGCAGACGACUCCGAGUAUGCUAAAUUACAGGAAAUACUCAUAGGGAAAGCGAUAAAUGCAAGAAUAGAAAGAUGCAGGAAAAUAAAGGUGGUCUUUUGUGCGCAGGGGCGAAGACCCUUUUUCAGGGUAUCGUAUGCCUAUUUAUAGAACCGCCUUUGCGUCAGUUAUUGCUCUUGCACGAUCAACCACUAUCUCCUGAUUCGUAGGACCACCUUCGGCCGAUCGGAACCGCUCGUAAUUGCUUGCGGUUGUUAUAACUCCUCUGUCCAGUGCAGCUCGUAUGCGUCCGGUGUACUCUAGGUCUACCGUUUUAGCCGUCUUACGGAUAUGGACCCGGCGCGCCAGCUGUUCGCGCCUAACUGGCUCAACAAUUGCCCUCUCGCCAGUUUUCGAAGCGAUGCUUCGGUAGCUGGCGUUACCUUUUUCAUCUCAAACAAUUUUCUAUUGCCAAAAGCGAGCUUAAUUCGAGGCGUAUUUCUCGGUCCAAUAAAAUUCAAAUUCUCUGACGCAUUCUGCACUACGAUCUUCUGUACGGUUUAAUCUAAGCCGUUCAUUAUCUUCUUUACGGCCCUGAUCGCAUUCUCUACUUUUGUCUCAUGUGCGGCAUUAAUGAAAUCAUCUUAAUUGCCGCUGUCUAUUCAUCAUUAUAGCCGACCUUAGGACUCGUAAUCGAAGCGACAGUUCGAUACGACGGUCUUUUCUUCUUCCUCAAGCUUCCCAUUCUUUUUGUCUCUUCCAAUUCUUAUUUCUUUUCUUCAUAUCCUUCACUAAAACCUCUUCUUCGUCUCCUUCAUCAUUCUUCGCUUUUCGUAACCGACUCUCUCGGCUCUUCUCUUCUUUUGAACAAUGUCUUUGGUUCCUCCUCUUCCCUCUCAUCCAUCUCUUGACUAUACUAUACUCAAACUUU